RNAcentral lists this ribosomal RNA (393 nucleotides) under uncultured bacterium. Its description in RNAcentral is "partial 16S ribosomal RNA". It matches the Rfam family "Bacterial small subunit ribosomal RNA", at positions 523 to 918 of the family's 1533-position model. The record is from RNAcentral.
AUACGGAGGAUGCGAGCGUUAUCCGGAUUUAUUGGGUUUAAAGGGUGCGUAGGCUGUGCGUUAAGUCAGGGGUAAAAUGCCGUCGCUCAACGACGGAGCUGCCCUUGAUACUGGCGUGCUGGAGUACGGAUGCCGUUGGAGGAAUGAGUGGUGUAGCGGUGAAAUGCUUAGAUAUCACUCAGAACACCGAUUGCGAAGGCAUCGGACGAAUCCGUCACUGACGCUGAGGCACGAAAGCGUGGGGAUAGAACAGGAUUAGAUCCCCUGGUAUGCCACGCCGUAAACGAUGAUGACUAACCGUCGGCGAUAUGCAGCCGGUGGCCAAGCGAAAGCUAUAAGUCAUCCACCUGGGGAGUACGUCGGCAACGAUGAAACUCAAAGGAAUUGACGGGG